This 325-nucleotide small nuclear RNA is filed under the name Myotis davidii. RNAcentral's name for it is "7SK RNA". It matches the Rfam family "7SK RNA". Rfam says of the family: 7SK was discovered as an abundant small nuclear RNA in the mid-70s but a possible function has only recently been suggested. Two independent studies have found that 7SK RNA binds the CDK9/cyclin T complex (known as elongation factor P-TEFb). P-TEFb activates transcription by phosphorylating the C-terminal domain of RNA polymerase II. The record is from Rfam by way of RNAcentral. Lineage: Eukaryota; Metazoa; Chordata; Mammalia; Chiroptera; Vespertilionidae.
GGACGUGAGGGUGAUCUGGCUGCAACGUCUGUCACCCCACUGAUUGCCAGGGUUGAUUUGGCUGAUCUGGCUGGUUAGGCAGGUGUCCCCUUCCUCCCUCACCACUCCAUCUGCCUUUCUCCCCAAGCUGUGCUCUUCGUCGAAGAGGGCCUUCCCCUCUGGAGGAGGACUAACUGUUCUUGGGUCAAGGGUAUACCAGUAGCUGCACUCUCCUGCUAGAAUCUCCAGACCAGCUCUCAGGGUCCAUUUGUAGAGCAUAGGGUAGUCAAGCUCCCAAGACUCCAGACACAUUCAAAUGAGGUGCUGCAUGUGGCAACCUUCCAUU